Camelus ferus (Wild Bactrian camel) is the source of this 72-nucleotide transfer RNA. It matches the Rfam family "tRNA". Rfam says of the family: Transfer RNA (tRNA) molecules are approximately 80 nucleotides in length. NCBI's taxonomy places the organism in Eukaryota, Metazoa, Chordata, Mammalia, Artiodactyla, Camelidae. The record is from Rfam.
GAGGGUAUCGCUUAGUGGUAGAGCAUUUGCUUUGAGUGCACGAGGUCCCGGGUUCAAUCCCCAGUCCCUCCA